This 74-nucleotide transfer RNA is filed under the name Candidatus Bathyarchaeota archaeon. RNAcentral describes it as "tRNA-Thr". It matches the Rfam family "tRNA". From Rfam's summary of the family: Transfer RNA (tRNA) molecules are approximately 80 nucleotides in length. Their secondary structure includes four short double-helical elements and three loops (D, anti-codon, and T loops). RNAcentral also lists the same sequence under 1 other name. The record is from RNAcentral. Lineage: Archaea; Thermoproteati; Candidatus Bathyarchaeota.
GCCUCGGUAGCUCAGCCUGGUAGAGCAGCAGCCUUGUAAGCUGCGGGUCGCGGGUUCGAAUCCCGCCCGAGGCU